UACGGAGGAUCCGAGCGUUAUCCGGAUUUAUUGGGUUUAAAGGGUGCGUAGGCGGGAGAUUAAGUCGGUGGUGGAAUUUUGCAGCUCAACUGUAAAAGUGCCAUUGAUACUGGUUUCCUUGAGUGUGGAUGAAGUAGGCGGAAUUUGUGGUGUAGCGGUGAAAUGCAUAGAUAUCACGAGGAACUCCGAUUGCGCAGGCAGCUUACUAAACCAUAACUGACGCUCAGGCACGAAGGCGUGGGGAUCAAACAGGAUUAGAUACCCCCGUAGU
This 271-nucleotide ribosomal RNA is filed under the name uncultured prokaryote. RNAcentral describes it as "partial 16S ribosomal RNA". It matches the Rfam family "Bacterial small subunit ribosomal RNA", at positions 524 to 794 of the family's 1533-position model. The record is from RNAcentral.